RNAcentral lists this ribosomal RNA (257 nucleotides) under uncultured prokaryote. Its description in RNAcentral is "partial 16S ribosomal RNA". It matches the Rfam family "Bacterial small subunit ribosomal RNA", at positions 524 to 780 of the family's 1533-position model. The record is from RNAcentral.
UACGUAGGUGGCGAGCGUUAUCCGGAUUUACUGGGUGUAAAGGGCGUGUAGGCGGCUCUGCAAGUCAGAUGUGAAAUCUCCGGGCUUAACCCGGAAACUGCAUCUGAAACUGCAGAACUUGAGUACUGAGAGGAUAGUGGAAUUCCAUGUGUAGCGGUGAAAUGCGUAGAGAUAUGGAGGAACACCAGUGGCGAAGGCGGCUUCCUGGUCUGUAACUGACACUGAGGCGCGAAAGCGUGGGGAGGCAAACAGGAUUA